GACGAACGCUGGCGGCGUGCUUAACACAUGCAAGUCGAACGGAAAGGCCCUGCUUUUGUGGGGUGCUCGGGUGGCGAACGGGUGAGUAACAUGUGAGUAACCUGCCCUUGACUUUGGUAUAACUUCAGGAAACUGGGGCUAAUAUCGGAUAGGAGCUCCUGCUGCAUGGUGGGGGUUGGAAAGUUUCGGCGGUUGGGGAUGGACUCGGGGCUUAUCAGCUUGUUGGUGGGGUAGUGGCUUACCAAGGCUUUGAAGGGUAGCCGGCCUGAGAGGGUGACCGGCCACAUUGGGACUGAGAUACGGCCCAGACUCCUACGGGAGGCAGCAGUGGGGAAUAUUGUACAGUGGGCGGAAGCCUGAUGCAGCAACGCCGCGUGCGUGAUGACGGCCUUCGGGUAGUAAACCGCUUUCGCCUGUGACGAAGCUUGAGUGACGGUAAUUGGUAAAGAAGCACCGGCUAACUACGUG
Molecule: ribosomal RNA, 468 nt
Filed under: uncultured bacterium
Lineage: Bacteria
Description: partial 16S ribosomal RNA
Rfam family: Bacterial small subunit ribosomal RNA
Source: RNAcentral